RNAcentral lists this ribosomal RNA (1457 nucleotides) under uncultured organism. RNAcentral's name for it is "bacterial SSU rRNA". It matches the Rfam family "Bacterial small subunit ribosomal RNA". The record is from RNAcentral.
GAGUUUGAUCCUGGCUCAGGACGAACGCUGGCGGCGUGCUUAACACAUGCAAGUCGAACGAACUCGACCUUCGGGUCAUAUGAGUGAGUGGCGAACGGGUGAGUAACACGUGAGAAAUCUGCCUCAAAGUUUGGAAUAACCCAGGGAAACUCGGGCUAAUGCCAAAUACCUUGUGUAGACCGAAUGGUCAAUAUAAGAAAGAUUUAUCGCUUUGAGAGGGUCUCGCGGCCUAUCAGCUAGUUGGUGAGGUAAUGGCUCACCAAGGCAUUGACGGGUAGCUAGUCUGAGAGGACGAUUAGCCACACUGGAACUGAGAUACGGUCCAGACUCCUACGGGAGGCAGCAGUCGGGAAUAUUGCACAAUGGACGAAAGUCUGAUGCAGCGACGCCGCGUGGGGGAUGAAGGCCUUAGGGUCGUAAACCCCUUUCAGUAGGGAAGAAAAUGACGGUACCUACAGAAGAAGCCCCGGCCAACUACGUGCCAGCAGCCGCGGUAAGACGUAGGGGGCGAGCGUUGUCCGGAAUUAUUGGGCGUAAAGAGCUCGUAGGCGGUUUUGUAAGUCAGAUGUGAAAACUCAGGGCUUAACCCUGAGACGCCAUCUGAUACUGCAAUGACUAGAAUCCAGUAGGGGAGUGUGGAAUUCCUGGUGUAGCGGUGAAAUGCACAGAUAAGGAGCGAAAGCAUGGGUAGCAAACAGGAUUAGAUACCCUGGUAGUCCAUGCCGUAAACGGUGGGCACUAGGUGUAGGGACUUUCAACGGUCUCUGUGCCGAAGCUAACGCAUUAAGUGCCCCGCCUGGGGAGUACGGCCGCAAGGCUAAAACUCAAAGGAAUUGACGGGGGCCCGCACAAGCGGCGGAGCAUGUUGCUUAAUUCGAGGCAACGCGAAGAACCUUACCUAGGUUUGACAUGUAUCGAAAAGCCAUAGAGAUAUGGUGUCCUUCGGGGCGAUACACAGGUGGUGCAUGGCUGUCGUCAGCUCGUGUCGUGAGAUGUUGGGUUAAGUCCCGCAACGAGCGCAACCCUCGUCCUGUGUUGCUAACACGUAAUGGUGAGGACUCACAGGAGACUGCCGUGGUUAACACGGAGGAAGGUGGGGAUGAGGUCAAGUCAUCAUGCCCCUUAAGCCUAGGACUGCAAACAUGCUACAAUGGCAGGCACAACGGGCUGCUAUACCGCGAGGUAAAGCGAAUCCCUUAAAGCCUGUCUCAGUUCGGAUCGAAGUCUGCAACUCGACUUCGUGAAGCUGGAGUCGCUGGUAAUCCCAGAUCAGCAACGCUGGGGUGAAUACGUUCCCGGGCCUUGUACACACCGCCCGUCACACCACGAAAGUCGGUAACACCCAAAGCACGUGGCUCAACCUUCGGGAGAGAGCGUUCUAAGGUGGGACUGGCGAUUGGGGUGAAGUCGUAACAAGGUAGCCGUACCGGAAGGUGUGGCUGGAUCACCUCCUUUCU